UUUCCAAAAAAAAAAUUAAAAAAAUAAAUCUCUUCAUUCCUGUUUUGAAGUCGCACGUCUUGUUUUUUUUUGGGCUUUUGUAAUAUCACAAUUCGGUUAAUACCAAGCUAGACUCGCCUAUCUCCAGAAUGAAGCUGCUGUUUUUCCUGAUUCUAAUACUUGCCGCUUACACUGCUUACACUCAAGGUAAUAAACCAGACACUAGCCAUAUGUGUGCUUCCGAUAAGGACUGUGACGAAGGAUUAAAAUGCGUACAUAUUGAACUCCAAAAUAAUGUGUGCAUGGAUCCAUACUAAAAAGAUAACAAUUGUUAUUUUCUUUCUCUCACAUGAUGUUUAAAAGCUUGAUGUGAUUGAAAUAAACAGGCGUGCCAUCUAA
This is a long non-coding RNA of Physella acuta, 378 nucleotides long. RefSeq lists it as uncharacterized. NCBI's taxonomy places the organism in Eukaryota, Metazoa, Mollusca, Gastropoda, Physidae. The record is from RefSeq and is a predicted model, not a curated record.